RNAcentral lists this ribosomal RNA (252 nucleotides) under uncultured bacterium. RNAcentral's name for it is "partial 16S ribosomal RNA". It matches the Rfam family "Bacterial small subunit ribosomal RNA", at positions 524 to 776 of the family's 1533-position model. The record is from RNAcentral.
UACAGAGGUCUCAAGCGUUGUUCGGAUUCAUUGGGCGUAAAGGGUGUGUAGGUGGCGCCGUAAGUCGGGUGUGAAAUUUCGGAGCUUAACUCCGAAACUGCAUUCGAUACUGCGGUGCUUGAGGACUGGAGAGGAGACUGGAAUUUACGGUGUAGCGGUGAAAUGCGUAGAUAUCGUAAGGAAGACCAGUGGCGAAGGCGGGUCUCUGGGCAGUAACUGACGUGAGGAACGAAAGCGUGGGUAGCAAACAGG